This 497-nucleotide ribosomal RNA is filed under the name uncultured bacterium. RNAcentral's name for it is "partial 16S ribosomal RNA". It matches the Rfam family "Bacterial small subunit ribosomal RNA", at positions 28 to 507 of the family's 1533-position model. The record is from RNAcentral.
GAUGAACGCUGGCGGCGUGCCUAAUACAUGCAAGUCGAGCGAACAGACGAGGAGCUUGCUCCUCUGACGUUAGCGGCGGACGGGUGAGUAACACGUGGAUAACCUACCUAUAAGACUGGGAUAACUUCGGGAAACCGGAGCUAAUACCGGAUAAUAUAUUGAACCGCAUGGUUCAAUAGUGAAAGACGGUUUUGCUGUCACUUAUAGAUGGAUCCGCGCCGCAUUAGUUAGUUGGUAAGGUAACGGCUUACCAAGGCGACGAUGCGUAGCCGACCUGGGAGGGUGAUCGGCCACACUGGAACUGAGACACGGUCCAGACUCCUACGGGAGGCAGCAGUAGGGAAUCUUCCGCAAUGGGCGAAAGCCUGACGGAGCAACGCCGCGUGAGUGAUGAAGGUCUUCGGAUCGUAAAACUCUGUUAUUAGGGAAGAACAAAUGUGUAAGUAACUAUGCACGUCUUGACGGUACCUAAUCAGAAAGCCACGGCUAACUACGUG